Small nucleolar RNA from Chelonoidis abingdonii (Abingdon island giant tortoise), 199 nucleotides. Its record names the gene SNORA74. It matches the Rfam family "Small nucleolar RNA SNORA74". From Rfam's summary of the family: U19 belongs to the H/ACA class of snoRNAs. snoRNAs bind a number of proteins (including dyskerin, Gar1p and Nop10p in the case of the H/ACA class) to form snoRNP complexes. This class are thought to guide the sites of modification of uridines to pseudouridines by forming direct base pairing interactions with substrate RNAs. Targets may include ribosomal and spliceosomal RNAs but the exact functions of many snoRNAs, including U19, are not confirmed. Lineage: Eukaryota; Metazoa; Chordata; Testudines; Testudinidae. The record is from Ensembl.
UCCAGCAGUUGUCAGCUGCUCAGUGCAGUUCUGUGCCUGUGCUAGUGUUACACUGCUGGGAGAGAAAUGUGCCAUCAGAGUUACCUGGUACUGCUGGUACUGUUCUAGUGCCCAUCAGUGCCAGGUUUUGAUAGCACCUUGCAUCCUUGAGAGUGGAAUAAUUCUCUGUAGAGUUAGUCCUAGACUGGAUGCGAACAGA